AUUGAACGCUAGCGGGAUGCUUUACACAUGCAAGUCGAACGGCAGCGCGGACUUCGGUCUGGCGGCGAGUGGCGAACGGGUGAGUAAUGUAUCGGAACGUGCCCAGUAUCGGGGGAUAACUACGCGAAAGCGUAGCUAAUACCGCAUACGCCCUACUGGGGAAAGCCGGGGAUCGUAAGACCUUGCACUAUUUGAGGUGCCGAUAUCGGAUUAGCUAGCUGGUGAGGUAACGGCUCACCAAGGCGACGAUCCGAAGCUGGUUUGAGAGGACGACCAGCCACACUGGAACUGAGACACGGCCCAGACUCCUACGGGAGGCAGCAGUGGGGAAUUUUGGGCAAUGGGGGCAACCCUGAUCCAGCCAUCCCGCGUGUGCGAUGAAGGCCUUCGGGUUGUAAAGCACUUUUGGCAGGAAAGAAACGUCGCGGGCUAAUACCCCGUGGAACUGACGGUACCUGCAGAAUAAGCACCGGCUAACUACGUG
This 484-nucleotide ribosomal RNA is filed under the name uncultured bacterium. RNAcentral's name for it is "partial 16S ribosomal RNA". It matches the Rfam family "Bacterial small subunit ribosomal RNA", at positions 30 to 507 of the family's 1533-position model. The record is from RNAcentral.